Molecule: unclassified non-coding RNA, 113 nt
Organism: Aotus nancymaae (Ma's night monkey)
Lineage: Eukaryota; Metazoa; Chordata; Mammalia; Primates; Aotidae
Rfam family: Y RNA
About the family: Y RNAs are components of the Ro ribonucleoprotein particle (Ro RNP), in association with Ro60 and La proteins. The Y RNAs and Ro60 and La proteins are well conserved, but the function of the Ro RNP is not known. In humans the RNA component can be one of four small RNAs -- hY1, hY3, hY4 and hY5.
Source: Ensembl
AGCUGGUCUGAAGGUAAUGAGUUAUCUCAAUUGAUUGUUCACAGUCAGUUACAGAUCGAACUCCUUGUUCUAUUCUCUCCCCCUUUCUCACUACUGCACUUGACUAGUCUUAA